UCCGCCCACACAGAUAUUUGAAGCCAGUGA
RNAcentral lists this non-coding RNA (30 nucleotides) under Macaca fascicularis (crab-eating macaque). Lineage: Eukaryota; Metazoa; Chordata; Mammalia; Primates; Cercopithecidae. RNAcentral also lists the same sequence under 1 other name. The record is from RNAcentral.